GGGGAAGUGUCGGAAUUGGUAGACGAGCGUGAUUUAGGAUCACGUGCCUAUUGGCGUCCGGGUUCGAGUCCCGGCUUCCCCACCA
RNAcentral lists this transfer RNA (85 nucleotides) under Chloroflexota bacterium. Its description in RNAcentral is "tRNA-Leu". It matches the Rfam family "tRNA". Rfam says of the family: Transfer RNA (tRNA) molecules are approximately 80 nucleotides in length. Their secondary structure includes four short double-helical elements and three loops (D, anti-codon, and T loops). Further hydrogen bonds mediate the characteristic L-shaped molecular structure. tRNAs have two regions of fundamental functional importance: the anti-codon, which is responsible for specific mRNA codon recognition, and the 3' end, to which the tRNAs corresponding amino acid is attached (by aminoacyl-tRNA synthetases). tRNAs cope with the degeneracy of the genetic code in two manners: having more than one tRNA (with a specific anti-codon) for a particular amino acid; and 'wobble' base-pairing, i.e. permitting non-standard base-pairing at the 3rd anti-codon position. Lineage: Bacteria; Bacillati; Chloroflexota. RNAcentral also lists the same sequence under 1 other name. The record is from RNAcentral.